RNAcentral lists this ribosomal RNA (1589 nucleotides) under uncultured crenarchaeote. RNAcentral describes it as "bacterial SSU rRNA". It matches the Rfam family "Archaeal small subunit ribosomal RNA". The record is from RNAcentral. Lineage: Archaea; Thermoproteati; Thermoproteota.
GAAUUCGCCCGUUUUCCGGUUGACCUGCCGGACCCGACUGCUAUCGGGGUGGGGCUAAGCCAUGCGAGUCAGCGCCCUCGGCCAUGAGAGGGCGCGGCGCACGGCUCAGUAACACGUGGCUAACCUACCCUCAGGACGGGGAUAACCUCGGGAAACUGAGGCUAAUCCCCGAUAGAUGAGAGAUCCUGGAAUGGUCUCUCAUCUAAAGGGUAUACAUAUCAUGCUAUGUAUACCGCCUGAGGAUGGGGCCACGGCCCAUCAGGUAGUUGGUGGGGUAACGGCCCACCAAGCCUAUAACGGGUACGGGCCCUGAGAGGGGGAGCCCGGAGAUGGGCACUGAGACAAGGGCCCAGGCCCUACGGGGUGCAGCAGGCGCGAAACCUCCGCAAUGCGCGAAAGCGCGACGGGGUCACCCCGAGUGCUACCCGCUGAGGGUAGCUUUUCCCCAGUGUAAAAAGCUGGGGGAAUAAGCGGGGGGCAAGUCUGGUGUCAGCCGCCGCGGUAAUACCGGCCCCGCGAGACCAAGCUCCAAGAAUUAAAUCUAAUUGUACGUUAAAAAAUGAAGAAUUAUGAAAAUAAAGCUUAAUUCUUCUUAAAUUAAUUUUAAACUUAAAGAAUUUUCAAAAAACAAAAUCUCAUUUAUAAAAAGCUCCUGACUUUAGUCGUGGAGUAGCCCACUAGGUUCUUGAAAAAUAUAUUCUUGGAGCUUGGCGCGAUUGGUCGGGACGAUUAUUGAGCCUAAAGCGUCCGUAGCCGGCCUAGUGUGUCUCUGGUUAAAUCCCAAGGCUCAACCUUGGGAUUGCCAGAGAUACUACUAGGCUAGGGGGCGGGAGAGGCUGGGGGUACUCCGCGGGUAGGGGCGAAAUCCUAUAAUCCGCGGAGGACCACCGGUGGCGAAGGCGCCCAGCUAGAACGCGCCCGACGGUGAGGGACGAAAGCUAGGGGAGCAAAGGGGAUUAGAUACCCCCGUAGUCCUAGCCGUAAACGAUGCGGGCUAGGUGUUGGAUCGGCUUCGAGCCGAUCCAGUGCCGCAGCGAAGGCGAUAAGCCCGCCGCUUGGGGAGUACGGCCGCAAGGCUGAAACUUAAAGGAAUUGGCGGGGGAGCACCACAAGGGGUGAAGCCUGCGGUUUAAUUGGAGUCAACGCCGGGAAUCUUACCGGGGGAGACAGCAGGAUGAAGGCCAAGCUGAUGACUUUGCCAGACGAGAUGAGAGGAGGUGCAUGGCCGUCGCCAGUUCGUGCCGUGAGGUGUCCGGUUAAGUCCGGCAACGAACGAGACCCCCACCCUAUAUUGCUAAGUCUCCUCUUCGGAGGAGACUGCACAUAUAGGGGACUGCCGGCGCUAAGCCGGAGGAAGGAGGGGGCCACGGCAGGUCAGCAUGCCCCGAAUCCCCCGGGCUACACGCGGGCUGCAAUGGCGAGGACAGCGGGUUCCGACCCCGAAAGGGGGAGGUAAUCCCUUAAACCUCGCCGUAGUUGGGAUUGAGGGCUGCAACUCGCCCUCAUGAACCUGGAAUCCCUAGUAACCGCGCGUCACCAUCGCGCGGUGAAUACGUCCCUGCUCCUUGCACACACCGCCCGUCAAGGGC